This 332-nucleotide unclassified non-coding RNA is filed under the name soil metagenome. RNAcentral describes it as "partial contains 5.8S ribosomal RNA, internal transcribed spacer 2, and large subunit ribosomal RNA". The stretch from base 1 to 120 matches the Rfam family "5.8S ribosomal RNA", at positions 35 to 154 of the family's 154-position model. The record is from RNAcentral.
GAUGAAGAACGUAGCAAAAUGCGAUAAGUAAUGUGAAUUGCAGAAUUCAGUGAAUCAUCGAAUCUUUGAACGCACAUUGCGCCCGCCAGUAUUCUGGCGGGCAUGCCUGUUCGAGCGUCAUUUCAACCCUCAAGCACAGCUUGGUGUUGGGACUCGCGUUAAUUCGCGUUCCCCAAAUUGAUUGGCGGUCACGUCGAGCUUCCAUAGCGUAGUAGUAAAACCCUCGUUACUGGUAAUCGUCGCGGCCACGCCGUUAAACCCCAGCUUCUGAAUGUUGACCUCGGAUCAGGUAGGAAUACCCGCUGAACUUAAGCAUAUCAAUAAGCGGAGGA